Molecule: microRNA precursor, 79 nt
Filed under: Podarcis lilfordi (Lilford's wall lizard)
Lineage: Eukaryota; Metazoa; Chordata; Lepidosauria; Squamata; Lacertidae
Source: RNAcentral
CUUCUUCUUCUUCUUCUUCUUCUUCUUCUUCUUGAAAAGAGAUGUGAAGAAGAAGAAGAAGAAGAAGAAGAAGAAGAAG